UAUUGGGCAAUGGGCGCAAGCCUGACCCAGCAACGCCGCGUGAAGGAAGAAGGCUUUCGGUUUGUAAACUUCUUUUAUCAGGGACGAAAUAUAUGACGGUACCUGAUGAAUAAGCCACGGCUAACUACGUGCCAGCAGCCGCGGUAAUACGUAGGUGGCAAGCGUUAUCCGGAUUUACUGGGUGUAAAGGGCGUGUAGGCGGGACUGCAAGUCAGAUGUGAAAAUUAUGGGCUCAACCCAUAACCUGCAUUUGAAACUGUAGUUCUUGAGUGAUGGAGAGGCAGGCGGAAUUCCGUGUGUAGCGGUGAAAUGCGUAGAUAUACGGAGGAACACCAGUGGCGAAGGCGGCCUGCUGGACAUUAACUGACGCUGAGGCGCGAAAGCGUGGGGAGCAAACAGGA
This 401-nucleotide ribosomal RNA is filed under the name uncultured bacterium. RNAcentral describes it as "bacterial SSU rRNA". It matches the Rfam family "Bacterial small subunit ribosomal RNA", at positions 362 to 777 of the family's 1533-position model. The record is from RNAcentral.